GGGGUGGUAGGGUGACAGCAUGAAAGGGGGUGACAGGUGGGGUGGCAGGGUGACGGGGUGAGAGGGGGUGACAGGUGGGGUGGAAGGGUGAGAUGGGGGUGACACGUGGGGUGGCAGGGUGAGAUGGGGUGACAGGUGGGGUGGUAGUGUGAGAGAGGGGUGACAGGGUGAAGUGGCAGGGUGAGGGGGGGUGACAAGGUGAAGUGGCAGGGUGAGGGAGGUGA
This is a non-coding RNA of Pelobates cultripes (western spadefoot toad), 224 nucleotides long. NCBI's taxonomy places the organism in Eukaryota, Metazoa, Chordata, Amphibia, Anura, Pelobatidae. The record is from the annotation of a GenBank genome assembly.